UGCCGCAGCUAAUGCAUUAAGUACCCCACCUGGGGAGUACGAUCGCAAGGUUGAAACUCAAAGGAAUUGACGGGGGCCCGCACAAGCGGUGGAGCAUGUGGUUUAAUUCGAUGCAACGCGAAGAACCUUACCUAGGCUUGACAUGCAGGGGACAGGUGUAGAAAUACAUCCUUCCUUCGGGACCCUUGCACAGGUGCUGCAUGGCUGUCGUCAGCUCGUGUCGUGAAAUGUUGGGUUAAGUCCCGCAACGAGCGCAACCCCUGUCUUUAGUUGCCAUCAGGUAAUGCUGGGGACUCUAGAGAGACUGCCGGUGACAAACCGGAGGAAGGUGGGGAUGACGUCAAGUCAUCAUGGCCCCUUACGCCUAGGGCUACACACGUGCUACAAUGGUCGGUACAAAGGGCAGCAAUACCGUGAGGUGGAGCAAAUCCCAAAAAGCCGGCCUCAGUUCGGAUCGAAGUCUGCAACUCGACUUCGUGAAAGUUGGAAUCGCUAGUAAUCGCGUAUCAGAACGACGCGGGUGAAUACGUUCCCGGGCCCUUGUACACACCGCCCCGUCAAGUCAAACCGAGUUGGCUGCCACCCCCCAAGUCGCUGAGCUAACCCCGUAAGGGGAGGCUAGGUGCCCAAGGUGUGGUUAGCGAGGGGGACUAAGUCGU
This 659-nucleotide ribosomal RNA is filed under the name uncultured organism. RNAcentral describes it as "bacterial SSU rRNA". It matches the Rfam family "Bacterial small subunit ribosomal RNA", at positions 844 to 1489 of the family's 1533-position model. The record is from RNAcentral.